GUAACGCGGGGGUAACCUGCCCUGUACAGGGGGACAACAGUUAGAAAUGACUGCUAAUACCGCAUAAGCGCACAGGACCGCAUGGUCCGGUGUGAAAAACUCCGGUGGUACAGGAUGGACCCGCGUCUGAUUAGGUAGUUGGCGGGGUAACGGCCCACCAAGCCGACGAUCAGUAGCCGACCUGAGAGGGUGACCGGCCACAUUGGGACUGAGACACGGCCCAAACUCCUACGGGAGGCAGCAGUGGGGAAUAUUGCACAAUGGGGGAAACCCUGAUGCAGCGACGCCGCGUGAGUGAAGAAGUAUUUCGGUAUGUAAAGCUCUAUCAGCAGGGAAGAAAAUGACGGUACCUGACUAAGAAGCCCCGGCUAACUACGUGCCAGCAGCCGCGGUAAUACGUAGGGGGCAAGCGUUAUCCGGAUUUACUGGGUGUAAAGGGAGCGUAGACGGCAGAGCAAGUCUGAAGUGAAAGCCCGCGGCCCAACUGCGGGACUGCUUUGGAAACUGCCCGGCUAGAGUGCUGGAGAGGUAAGCGGAAUUCCUAGUGUAGCGGUGAAAUGCGUAGAUAUUAGGAGGAACACCAGUGGCGAAGGCGGCUUACUGGACAGUAACUGACGUUGAGGCUCGAAAGCGUGGGGAGCAAACAGGAUUAGAUACCCUGGUAGUCCACGCCGUANACGAUGAAUACUAGGUGUUGGUGGGCAAAGCCCAUCGGUGCCGCCGCAAA
Molecule: ribosomal RNA, 727 nt
Filed under: uncultured bacterium
Lineage: Bacteria
Description: bacterial SSU rRNA
Rfam family: Bacterial small subunit ribosomal RNA
Source: RNAcentral